GAUGAACGCUGGCGGCGUGCCUAAUACAUGCAAGUCGAGCGAACAGAUGAGAAGCUUGCUUCUCUGAUGUUAGCGGCGGACGGGUGAGUAACACGUGGGUAACCCACCUAUAAGACUGGGAUAACUCCGGGAAACCGGGGCUAAUACCGGAUAAUAUUUUGAACCGCAUGGUUCAAUAGUGAAAGACGGUUUCGGCUGUCACUUAUAGAUGGACUCGCGCCGUAUUAGCUAGUUGGUAAGGUAACGGCUUACCAAGGCGACGAUACGUAGCCGACCUGAGAGGGUGAGCGGCCACACUGGAACUGGGACACGGUCCAGACUCCUACGGGAGGCAGCAGUAGGGAAUCUUCCGCAAUGGGCGAAAGCCUGACGGAGCAACGCCGCGUGAGUGAUGAAGGUCUUCGGAUCGUAAAACUCUGUUGUUAGGGAAGAACAAAUUUGUUAGUAACUGAACAAGUCUUGACGGUACCUAACCAGAAAGCCACGGCUAACUACGUGCCAGCCGCCGCCGUAA
Molecule: ribosomal RNA, 514 nt
Filed under: uncultured bacterium
Lineage: Bacteria
Description: partial 16S ribosomal RNA
Rfam family: Bacterial small subunit ribosomal RNA
Source: RNAcentral